Long non-coding RNA from Syzygium oleosum, 648 nucleotides. RefSeq lists it as uncharacterized. NCBI's taxonomy places the organism in Eukaryota, Viridiplantae, Streptophyta, Magnoliopsida, Myrtales, Myrtaceae. The transcript is spliced from 2 exons. The record is from RefSeq and is a predicted model, not a curated record.
GGAGUUCAAGCUCGGACCGAUCACGCCUACGAUCGCCAGCGUUACUCUCUCUCUCUCUCUCUCUCUCUCUCUCUCUCUCUCUCUCUCUCAUGUACAUGCGCAUUGAAAAUGUUCUUUUGGGGCGCAAAUGCAACAAUGCCCGUCCAUCAUCCACUUGCAGGGUGCUACUUAGAAGAAGGCGAAUGUAUAUAAAGCAUGUCAUGUAACGACCCUGUCCAACGAGGACAAGGAGUGGUUGCUAGGACGAGAGGGCCUGGACAAAGAGCUUCUCCCGGCAGGCUUCUAGGAUAGGGAAGGGAGGAACAAUGAAUCAAAUUGUGCACCGAAUAUGAGGAGAGCGAUUUCGAGAUAUAUAUGUGAAAACUAAAAUUAACUUACAGAGGUGCCUUUUGACGUAACGGCAAGCGCUUUGGAACUCCAAAGUUAAAUGUGCUCAAGCUAGAGCACUACCAGAAUGGGUGACCUAUUGGAAAAGUGUCCGCAUGUAUGCUAAAGGACAAAUUAGUGAGGCCCAGUGUGGGUCAAAGCGGAUAAUACCUCGAGUGAGUUAAUUCAGGAUGUUGGUGUGAUGUGGAACAGUUAAUAUAUUUUAGUUGGCUCAUAACUUGUUGGUUUAAACUUCUGAGUGAAGAUGGCUCAAACUGGAUA